AUACGUAGGGGGCGAGCGUUGUCCGGAAUGAUUGGGCGUAAAGGGCGCGUAGGCGGCCCGGUAAGUCUGGAGUGAAAGCCCUGUUUUUAAGAUGGGAAUUGCUUUGGAUACUGUCGGGCUUGAGUGCAGGAGAGGUAAGUGGAAUUCCCAGUGUAGCGGUGAAAUGGGUAGAGAUUGGGAGGAAAACCAGUGGCGAAGGCGACUUACUUGACUGUAACUGACGCUGAGGAGCGAAAGUGGGGGGAGCAAACAGGAGUAGAUACCCUGGUAGUCCACACUGUAAACGAUGAAUGAUAGGUGUAGGGGGUAUCGACCCCUUCUGUGCCGCAGUCAACACAAUAAGCAUUCCGCCUGGGGAGUACGGCCGCAAGGUUGAAACUCAAAUGAAUUGGCGGGG
This 397-nucleotide ribosomal RNA is filed under the name uncultured bacterium. Its description in RNAcentral is "partial 16S ribosomal RNA". It matches the Rfam family "Bacterial small subunit ribosomal RNA", at positions 523 to 918 of the family's 1533-position model. The record is from RNAcentral.